Molecule: long non-coding RNA, 4643 nt
Organism: Oreochromis aureus
Lineage: Eukaryota; Metazoa; Chordata; Actinopteri; Cichliformes; Cichlidae
Source: Ensembl
CACAACAUUUACAUUCGUUAACAAUCUUUUCUUCUUCUUUUUUUAUUGUGUGAAAAACAGAAAACAAUUUUCAAUAUGUACAAGGUGUGUUAUAGAUUAUAGGUUACAGAAAGAGACAAAAGACUAGUUUCACGGUGCACAGGACUAUUUUGGUUUUCGGUGAUAAUUUGUAAUUUGCAUUAUUUAUUACGGCAGUUGCCACUUUAAGGCAUAAGUGUGUGUGUGUGUGUGUUUGUUUUGUGCUGUAUGUGCAUGCAUGCGUGGAUGCGGUUUGUAUGUAUGGCUGAGUGUCUGUGUGCAUGUGUCUAUAACUGUCUGUGGAAAAACAAAGUCUUACAUACUCACUUUGUCUUACAGAAAAAAAAUAUACCAAUAAAACUACAAAAUCUGAAAUGUACAAUACUAAAGAAAAAAAUGUAAAAAUGUUUUCAUUUUCUUGCAUUAAAAAUAUAAACUAUAUUCUGUUUGAAAAGCAUUUAUAGUUCAAGGCUUUUAUCAGUUUAAAAACUGAAGUGCUAAAGACCGGAGAACUGGCGCCAGUCUGGUUUUAUAGUUUAACAGCUUUGGCAUGGCGAGGCAGCAUCACAUGAUCAUGUCACGACAAUUAUAAAAUCACCUGGUGUGUUUGUGCUUCAGCUUCUCAGGAGUGAAUGUGCAACAGUUUACUUGUUUGCAUUUCCUAUGCCACACAGACAUUAAAAGGUAGAAACAAUGCUGCCCAUACUGGGACGCUCUGAUGUACAAAGCAGCAUUUGCUGACUGAUCACAUGAUCAAAAAAUAAACUGAGGACACUACAACUGUAAUGGAUCAUAAACACCAAUUUUAUGGCAGUAUGAAUCAGCAUAAAGUUAGUGCAUGGUUAUCAACCUUUAACCCCAUAUCAAACCAAAUGUAUUCCAUCUGUUUUGUGGCAACAGUUGCAACUUCUGCAUUUGUCAGGUGACAAAAAUAUUACCAGCAUUUUGGAGCAAACACUCAACCAUGAAAGGUAUUUUCUUCUUUUUAUAAAACAGUCUAAAUGCAGAAAAGAGGAACUGAAAUGGGCAAACAUUAAGUUACAGUAAACUGAACGGGACCAAACUAAUUCAGCACCAGUUCAUUUUAAUAAAAUAUGGUUUAUACAAAUGUGUUAUCGGCCUUCCUGUGCUUCAAAGAGACGCGAUAGUCAGCCUGACCACGUUCACACCCACACCAAAGGUGUCCGUACUGGAAAUGACCCUAUUUAGAAUUACUCUGCAUCUGUAAGAAAAGGUUCACCAUGCAGUGCUCUGCACGUGCAUCUGUCUGAGACUCAAACAGCAAUGAAAUGUUUGAAUCUUGAAUCUCUGUAAUCUCUGAUUAAUGAGCUGGUCUAAACAUGUGCAUUAUCCUGUUUUCAGCUGUGAUUCUCCUUUUAACAGCUAUUCAUCUUAAACAUUAUUACUUAGUUUUAGUUUUAACACAUGCUAAAAUAAUUUUCUAUCCAUGACCCCCACUCCACCUGCUGAUUAACACUGAAACAUCUGCUUCAGCGGGUUUUUGUUCAGCUGACCUUUUAUUAAUUUAAAAUUAUUUGAAUGGAUAUCAGCAGUUCUCCAAAGCUGUAAGUUAGAAGCUUAUAUUUGAUUAAAAACGAUGCACUGUUUGAAGAGACUGAUAACGUCAUCUCUGUUUUCACAGGUACAACUUAAACUCAAAACCACAAACACGUAGGAAGUGUAAUUGAACUAAAUAUAGAAAACAUAAGUUGAUGCUGUUAAAUGAUAAACGGGUGGCUUCAGCUCAGAAUCUCACAUGCAGUAAAACAGCUUUCUUCCUCAAACUACAGCUAGUUCACUGAACUCCUCUUAGUGUGGUCACAAAUCUACAUCAACACAAACAUUUAAAGUCCACUUUAAAUAUGAAAAAGCAGAUGCGUCUUAACAUUUAAAAAUUGAAUUUCUGAAUCAAUUUUAUAUUUGAAGGGAAUUAGAAGACAUAAUGUGACAAGUAUUGAUAAGAUUGCUGGUCUUGAUACACAGGAACAAAACUUACUCCUUUUUAUAUUACAACCAGUGUCACAUUUAAACCUACACAACCCACUCCACUGUAUUAUUGCACUAAAUGGUUCGAUCUUAUACAAAUGGUUUUCUGUCGAAAACAAAGGAAGAAAGAAUGAAAACCAACGUCUGAGAAAAAAGCAGAAGUAUUUGCAUCAUGGAAACAAAUCCGCUCACAUGUCUGCUUACUGUGAACUUCCUGAAACACUUUGCUGUAAAUUUAUCUUUGGACUGAAGAGCCAAAGGAAGACAACCUCCACCCACACACUACACCAAACUAUUAGUAAUUAUGUUUUUGCAAAUCACAACUCAUUACCUAGAUCUGUUACAUAAUCACACUUUAAAUAAAUGUAAAUGAAAACUUUGGCAUUAGAAAGUGGCUGUUUCAGGAUUAAAUGAGUGCACCUGUAUUGUUAAAACUGUAGUAAUAUUGCAGUUUAUCAGUGUUUAGACAAUAAAUAAGAUAAAAUAUAUUCAUAAAUUCUAACUAUGAUUAAAAACUAGUACAACGUCCUAUAAAUAUAAAAGUUAGUAGAAAAAUAUGAAUAAUUAUGUUUACAAAUUUUAAAUAGCUACAAAACUACCACAGCUUGUGUAGCGUCAUAUGAAAUGAUAUCCUAGACGUCACCUAAGUCUGAUGGUGUUGAUGCCCAGUUAUGAUACAGAAGUAAACUGAAAGCAAAGAAAAUCAAUACGUAUGAGAUCUGAUGGUUUUUGUUUUUCUGAUGGGUAAUUGCAUUAAAUGAAAGACCUUUUGGCAUCUUGACAUCAUCUCCUCCUUCCAUGGACCUUCAGUCUGUGAACACACCGAUUACAUAAAUCACCGGAAUCUUUGGACCUUUGCAUACAUACAAUCAUCUCCUGUUGGUUCAGUGUGCCGAGAUCGCCUCGAAAACUUGACUUGGCCGUACUCCACCUCCACCUCCGCCUGUGUUGUUUGCACCGCUGGCUUCCCCUGUUGCUUCAUGAUCCUGACAUCAGCAUAGGUUACAUCUUGGUCACAUUCCUCCUCUGCAGAGUAGCAAGAAGAUUGUUACAAGCAGAGUAUUACAGAUGGUUAACUUUUAAAGGUUUUCAUUUUUGUGAAGUUUUUGUGCUUUCUUUAUGAGAGUUUCAAAAAUAUUUUCACAGUGAUAUAUGCUGCAGAAAGACCUGGUUAGCUUCAGCUCAUAGACCGGAGAAAAUGAGUCAGAUACAUUUUAAAAUUAGUUCUUUAGCAAUGCUUAAAGUUUAUAGUAGACAGAUGUUGUUACCUUUGUACACAGCGGUCUUCUCGGCUUUUGUGUUAAACCUUGUUAGUUAAAAAUACCCACAGAUUUUAUAUAUGACAGAGGAAUUUUUGUACCUUUUGGUUUUGUAGGUUUGUUGUUUUGUUUUUUCCUCUGAGCACAGAUGACUGCCACACCCACAACUAAGAAAAAUACCAGUGCUGAGAGAACACCACCGAUCAGGGGCAAAUGUCCUGUUUCAAAAGUAAAAUACAUAAAAAACAGAUGUUUCAGUUAUCAAAUGUAUGUUUUUUUCGUAAAAAGUACAUAAAGAAAGAGAAAGUGACAUCAGUGGAUCUAGUUAGUUUUCACUUACUAAUGUACCAUCGGCCAUCACUGUUGGUUUCAUUGCUGAAUUGUGUAAUUGACACUGUGCCAGUCUCCUUACCCACAGAAGUUGUUGUGACUGGGGUAGAUUCUGUUGUUGGUUUAAUACACAGGCCAUUCCUGUCUGCAUGCACCCAUCCUAAUAUCUUUGUCCCAUUGAUUGAGGUGCAGUUAAUGAAACCUGGCCGCAAAAAACAAAUAAUUCGUGAAAAAUGUUCAACGAAUUAGUUGUUAUUAUUGACUUUCAUUCAUAAUGUUGUCACUCACGACAGAUCUUCUGUUCUUCUGAGACAUUACUGACGCUGUUCCAGACUGAGCAGACCAGACGUCCUGAGACGUGCUGUUUCAGAGUGAUGUUGUUGGUCUUAUUAUUUACAGAAAGGAGCUCAGCAUCUGUCAGAGUGCGUCCAUCCAGAGUCCAGCUGUACUGAGGACUGUCCCCUCCCCCAGAGGAGCAGGACACCCUCAUCUCUCCCUGGGACAGACACUCAGAGACCAGCAGGACAGAGGACACAGGAGCUGAGAGAAACACACACAGAUGACUUACAUUUCAAAUUUAAAUCUUUGUCAUUGUUCAUACUCUCUAAUGAAGAACAGGGAAAGCAUAAAAUACAUGUAGCUUGUGUAUUUUGUGCUAUAUCACUAAGGUUAUCAAAACAAUGUUAAAUUUAUAUCUAUAAUCUGUUCCGAACAGAGAAAAAAAAUACCUUGAAUAAACAACUGUAAAGACCGCACGCCUGAUGAUCUUCCAUCUGAAUCAAAGGUUUGAAGGGUAUAAUUGCCACUGUCAUUCCUGCUCAGGUUAUUGAUCCUAAAUGUUCGAUUACUGAGAAAAACGAGAGACCUGUGUGCUAUGGUAUUAAAAAUAACCGUAUUAUUCCUGACAUUUAGUAUUGAUGAUAAAUUUUUUAACAGUUGGUAUCCAGGUAUUUCUGAGGUGCUGUCCAUCAGCUGGAUGUCCACAGUUCCUCCCAAAGCUCCAUAACACUGAGUUCCAUUCUGUCUGCUAUCACAGUGAGUUUCCACACC